CGGGCCGGGGGGUGCCUAAUACAUGCAAGUCGAACGAACUCUGGUAUUGAUUGGUGCUUGCAUCAUGAUUUACAUUUGAGUGAGUGGCGAACUGGUGAGUAACACGUGGGAAACCUGCCCAGAAGCGGGGGAUAACACCUGGAAACAGAUGCUAAUACCGCAUAACAACUUGGACCGCAUGGUCCGAGUUUGAAAGAUGGCUUCGGCUAUCACUUUUGGAUGGUCCCGCGGCGUAUUAGCUAGAUGGUGGGGUAACGGCUCACCAUGGCAAUGAUACGUAGCCGACCUGAGAGGGUAAUCGGCCACAUUGGGACUGAGACACGGCCCAAACUCCUACGGGAGGCAGCAGUAGGGAAUCUUCCACAAUGGACGAAAGUCUGAUGGAGCAACGCCGCGUGAGUGAAGAAGGGUUUCGGCUCGUAAAACUCUGUUGUUAAAGAAGAACAUAUCUGAGAGUAACUGUUCAGGUAUUGACGGUAUUUAACCAGAAAGCCACGGCUAACUACGUGCCAGCAGCCGCGGUAAUACGUAGGUGGCAAGCGUUGUCCGGAUUUAUUGGGCGUAAAGCGAGCGCAGGCGGUUUUUUAAGUCUGAUGUGAAAGCCUUCGGCUCAACCGAAGAAGUGCAUCGGAAACUGGGAAACUUGAGUGCAGAAGAGGACAGUGGAACUCCAUGUGUAGCGGUGAAAUGCGUAGAUAUAUGGAAGAACACCAGUGGCGAAGGCGGCUGUCUGGUCUGUAACUGACGCUGAGGCUCGAAAGUAUGGGUAGCAAACAGGAUUAGAUACCCUGGUAGUCCAUACCGUAAACGAUGAAUGCUAAGUGUUGGAGGGUUUCCGCCCUUCAGUGCUGCAGCUAACGCAUUAAGCAUUCCGCCUGGGGAGUACGGCCGCAAGGCUGAAACUCAAAGGAAUUGACGGGGGCCCGCACAAGCGGUGGAGCAUGUGGUUUAAUUCGAAGCUACGCGAAGAACCUUACCAGGUCUUGACAUACUAUGCAAAUCUAAGAGAUUAGACGUUCCCUUCGGGGACAUGGAUACAGGUGGUGCAUGGUUGUCGUCAGCUCGUGUCGUGAGAUGUUGGGUUAAGUCCCGCAACGAGCGCAACCCUUAUUAUCAGUUGCCAGCAUUAAGUUGGGCACUCUGGUGAGACUGCCGGUGACAAACCGGAGGAAGGUGGGGAUGACGUCAAAUCAUCAUGCCCCUUAUGACCUGGGCUACACACGUGCUACAAUGGAUGGUACAACGAGUUGCGAACUCGCGAGAGUAAGCUAAUCUCUUAAAGCCAUUCUCAGUUCGGAUUGUAGGCUGCAACUCGCCUACAUGAAGUCGGAAUCGCUAGUAAUCGCGGAUCAGCAUGCCGCGGUGAAUACGUUCCCGGGCCUUGUACACACCGCCCGUCACACCAUGAGAGUUUGUAACACCCAAAGUCGGUGGGGUAACCUUUUAGGAACCAGCCGCCUAAAGGUGGAACAAGAGUUG
This 1479-nucleotide ribosomal RNA is filed under the name Lactiplantibacillus plantarum. Its description in RNAcentral is "bacterial SSU rRNA". It matches the Rfam family "Bacterial small subunit ribosomal RNA". Lineage: Bacteria; Bacillati; Bacillota; Bacilli; Lactobacillales; Lactobacillaceae. The record is from RNAcentral.